GUAGGUGGCAAGCGUUGUCCGGAAUUAUUGGGCGUAAAGCGCGCGCAGGCGGUUCUUUAAGUCUGAUGUGAAAGCCCACGGGCUCAACCGUGGAGGGUCAUUGGAAACUGGAGAACUUGAGUACAGAAGAGGAAAGCGGAAUUCCACGUGUAGCGGUGAAAUGCGUAGAGAUGUGGAGGAACACCAGUGGCGAAGGCGGCUUUCUGGUCUGUAACUGACGCUGAGGCGCGAAAGCGUGGGGAGCAAACAGGAUUAGAUACCCUGGUAGUCCACGCCGUAAACGAUGAGUGCUAAGUGUUAGGGGGUUUCCGCUCCUUAGUGCUGCAGCUAACGCAUUAAGCACUCCGCCUGGGGAGUACGGCCGCAAGGCUG
RNAcentral lists this ribosomal RNA (372 nucleotides) under uncultured organism. Its description in RNAcentral is "partial 16S ribosomal RNA". It matches the Rfam family "Bacterial small subunit ribosomal RNA", at positions 527 to 896 of the family's 1533-position model. The record is from RNAcentral.